RNAcentral lists this ribosomal RNA (303 nucleotides) under uncultured bacterium. Its description in RNAcentral is "bacterial SSU rRNA". It matches the Rfam family "Bacterial small subunit ribosomal RNA", at positions 28 to 323 of the family's 1533-position model. The record is from RNAcentral.
GACGAACGCUGGCGGCGUGCUUAACACAUGCAAGUCGAGCGGUAAGGGCCCUUUCGGGGGUACACGAGCGGCGAACGGGUGAGUAACACGUGGGUGACCCUGCCCUCAGGCUCUGGGAUAAGCCGUGGGAAACCCGGGUCUAAUACCGGAUAUGACUCCGAUGACGCAUGUUGUGGGGGUGGAAAGCCUUGUGCGGCUGAGGAUGGGCCCGCGGCCGUAUCAGCUUGGUUGGUGGGGUGAUGGCCUACCAAGGCGACGACGGGUAGCCGGCCUGAGAGGGCGACCGGCCACACUGGGACUGAG